AAUAGAUACCCUGGUAGUCCUAGCCGUAAACGAUGAACACUAGGCGUAGUCGGUAUCGACCCCGGCUGUGCUGUAGCUAACGCAUUAAGUGUUCCGCCUGGGGAGUACGGCCGCAAGGCUAAAACUCAAAGGAAUUGACGGGGGGCCCGCACAAGCAGCGGAGCGUGUGGUUUAAUUCGUCGCAACGCGAAGAACCUUACCAGGGCUUGACAUGUGGCGGAAAACGGCGGAAACGUCGUCCUCCCGCAAGGGACCGUCAUGCAGGUGUUGCAUGGCUGUCGUCAGCUCGUGUCGUGAGAUGUUGGGUUAAGUCCCGCAACGAGCGCAACCCCCGUGGCAUGUUGUAUCUCUCAUGCCAGACUGCCGAGAGAAACUCGGAGGAAGGUGGGGAUGACGCCAAGUCAGCAUGGCCCUUACGUCCUGGGCUACACACACGCUACAAUGGCCGGUACAACGGGUUGCCAAACCGCGAGGUGGAGCUAAUCCCUUAAAGCCGGUCUCAGUUCGGAUUGCAGGCUGCAACUCG
RNAcentral lists this ribosomal RNA (526 nucleotides) under uncultured bacterium. RNAcentral's name for it is "bacterial SSU rRNA". It matches the Rfam family "Bacterial small subunit ribosomal RNA", at positions 777 to 1314 of the family's 1533-position model. The record is from RNAcentral.